CACGAAAGAAGUGGCCCGGUUUAUAAAGAAAACUGGGCCGAAAACCAAACAGAAGGAAAACACAUAAAAGAACCCACUAGAGAUUGGAGGUAGGGUUCAGAGGGUCUAGAAAGAAUUUAUCGUCUUACAUACUUCCCUGUUGUAUAAUUUUUUUUAUCUGUAUAAGAAUAUAUGUACGUGUGCUUCCCUGUUGUAUAAAUGAAUUUGAUUGAUGUGUACGCUCCGUGAAUAAUUCAAAAGGCUCGUGUUGUCAGUUGUGCAUGCCUCCAUGAGAUUCAGAUAUAUAUGAAUCUUGUAAAUUCGAUCUCCUAAAAUUGCUUCCGUGACGCACGCAGCAAGAUUGCCGGCCUGGGAUCUGGACGUUUGGUAAGCUUUGGCAAAAUUGUAAUCGACUGAGGCCGAAACUGAAAUUUAUAGAUGAUCGCCGAAACUGAAUUGGGGGCAAAAAAAAAAAAAAUCCUCCCCAAAAUUCCCUUGAUUCCAAUUUCCAAACAGGGAGUGGAGGCUGCGAGGGGAUUAAAUUGGAUCGGAUUCCGGCCGAUCUCUACCUAGUGCGUCGUCAGAAUCAGAUUAAUUCACGCCCCUGGCCUUUGACCAAACCCCUAGCUAACCGCCGCCGCCGCCAUGGAUCUCCUCCCCGACGAGCUGC
This 649-nucleotide long non-coding RNA is filed under the name Brachypodium distachyon (stiff brome). Its description in RNAcentral is "long non-coding RNA (BDIS_LNC004137)". The record is from RNAcentral. Lineage: Eukaryota; Viridiplantae; Streptophyta; Magnoliopsida; Poales; Poaceae.